GAUGAACGCUAGCGGCAGGCCUAAUACAUGCAAGUCGAACGGGAUUGCGGUAGUAGCUUGCUACUACUGCAUGAGAGUGCCGCACGGGUGCGUAACGCGUGAGCAACCUACCCAUAUCAGGGGGAUAGCCCGGCGAAAGUCGGAUUAACACCGCAUAACAUCAACAGUUCGCAUGUUCAGUUGAUUAAAUAUUUAUAGGAUAUGGAUGGGCUCGCGUGACAUUAGCUAGUUGGUAGGGUAACGGCUUACCAAGGCAACGAUGUCUAGGGGCUCUGAGAGGAGAAUCCCCCACACUGGUACUGAGACACGGACCAGACUCCUACGGGAGGCAGCAGUAAGGAAUAUUGGUCAAUGGGCGCAAGCCUGAACCAGCCAUGCCGCGUGCAGGAGGACUGCCCUAUGGGUUGUAAACUGCUUUUAUCAGGGAAUAAACCCCUUUACGAGUAGAGGGUUGAAUGUACCUGAAGAAUAAGGAUCGGCUAACUCCGUG
Molecule: ribosomal RNA, 490 nt
Filed under: uncultured bacterium
Lineage: Bacteria
Description: partial 16S ribosomal RNA
Rfam family: Bacterial small subunit ribosomal RNA
Source: RNAcentral